CUCGGAAUCCAGGCCCGAUAAUCGUCAAAAUCUGACAAAUUUCAUCGAUCCCUAAAACACUUUUUAACAACUAUCAGUAAAACGACUUCACCACCGCCAGGAUCCCCCUGUACCUAAAAUCCACCACUCUGCUUUUUCUACCACUACGCUACGAGCAAAAACUUGGUUCAGCAAUCUCUUCACAAGAUCCAAAACUGAGAAUCUACUGAAAAUUGAGUUGAGAGAUGGGCUGUACCCAGUCCAAGAUCGAGAACGAAGAAGCCGUUUCUCGCUGCAAAGACCGCAAAAAAUUCAUGAAAGAUGCCGUCGCCGCCCGCAACGCCUUCGCCUCCGCUCACUUCGCCUGCGCUAUAACUUUAAAGAACACCGGUGCCGCCCUCAGUGACUACACCCAUGGAGAGGUCGCACACCGCUCCUCCUCUAUGCCUGCUCACGCCGCCCCUACAGUCGCCCCUUCUUCUUCCUCUGUCGACACGCUCCCUCCUCCCGCCACUCCCUAACUUUCAGACGUCGGCAGCUCCUCCUCCGCUUCCGCUUCAGCGCGCCGCGAGCAUGCCGGAGAUGAUGAUCCAGAAGCCUGAAUCGAAAUCGGUGGGGCCCACGAUAAUGGAAGACGAGGAGAUGGAAUUUGAUACUCCUGAUAAUGAGAAAUUGAUAAGGAAGCGAAGUAGUAGUAGUAAAAGAGGCAGUGGCAGUAACAGAGGAGCUGUGCAAGAGAAUCAUCAACGUCAACAUCACAUGGAGCAGGGCGCAGACCAGCCACAGCCAUCGCAGCAGUGGAAAGAGGAGGUGAUUCGGGGCCCGACGGUGCAUCAGGGAUCGUCUUGGAGUGAUUACUUUUUUGCGCCGGUGGAGAGUAUGCCGGGGCCUACUUUGGCAGAACCGUUGGAGGUGGACGAAUUGGGGCGGAGGGAGUUUGAGGAAAAGGCCAAUAAAGUGCCACAAGAAGAGCAGGAGGAGAAUCCGGUGUUGGUGGUUGAGGAAAAGGUGGAGAAGGCGGUCGAGGUGCCAGUGCCAGUGCCAGUACCGGCAGUGGAGAAGAAGGUAGUGAAAAAGGGCGGUGGAGAAAUGGGGAGGAGGGUGGGAAAACCGAUGAAUUUGAUGGUCAUAUUUGCUGAGCUUGAUGAUCAUUUCUUGAAGGCUUCUGAGAGUGC
This 1154-nucleotide unclassified non-coding RNA is filed under the name Hevea brasiliensis (rubber tree). Lineage: Eukaryota; Viridiplantae; Streptophyta; Magnoliopsida; Malpighiales; Euphorbiaceae. The record is from RNAcentral.